AGUGAACGCUGGCGGUAGGCCUAACACAUGCAAGUCGAACGGCAGCACAGUAAGAUCUUGCUCUUACGGGUGGCGAGUGGCGGACGGGUGAGGAAUACAUCGGAAUCUACUUUUUCGUGGAGGAUAACGUAGGGAAACUUACGCUAAUACCGCAUACGACCUACCGGUGAAAGCAGGGGAUCUUCGGACCUUGCGCGAUUGAAUGAGCCGAUGUCGGAUUAGCUAGUUGGCGGGGUAAAGGCCCACCAAGGCGACGAUCCGUAGCUGGUCUGAGAGGAUGGUCAGCCACACUGGAACUGAGCCACGGUCAAGAGUCCUACGGGAGGCAGCAGUGGGGAAUAUUGGACAAUGGGCGCAAGCCUGAUCCAGCCAGACCGCGUGGGAGAAGAAGGCCUUCGGGUUGUAAAGCCCUUUUGUUGGGAAAGAAAAGCAGCAGGUUAAUACCCAGCUGUUCUGACGGUAACGAAAGAAUAAGCACCGGCUAACUUCGUG
RNAcentral lists this ribosomal RNA (492 nucleotides) under uncultured bacterium. RNAcentral's name for it is "partial 16S ribosomal RNA". It matches the Rfam family "Bacterial small subunit ribosomal RNA", at positions 29 to 507 of the family's 1533-position model. The record is from RNAcentral.